AGCUCCAAUAGCGUAUAUUAAAGUUGCUGCAGUUAAAAAGCUCGUAGUUGCAUUUCCGAGGCAAGGGAUUAGUCCGACCUUUGGUGGGUAUUUAAUCCUCUUGCCUCGUCCUUGAGUGGUGCUUCUUGGUAUUAAGUUAUCGAGGAGAUAGCCGCUCAUCGUUUACUGUGAGAAAAUUAGAGUGUUCAAAGCAGGCUUAUGCCGUUGAAUAUAUUAGCAUGGAAUAAUAAGAUAGGACCUCGGGACUAUUUUGUUGGUUUGAGAACCAAGGUAAUGAUGAAUAGGGACAGUUGGGGGUAUUCGUAUUCAGGUGUCAGAGGUGAAAUUCUUAGAUUUACGGAAGACGAACUACUGCGAAAGCAUUUACCAAGGAUGUUUUCA
This 381-nucleotide ribosomal RNA is filed under the name uncultured marine Chaetocerotaceae. RNAcentral describes it as "SSU rRNA". It matches the Rfam family "Eukaryotic small subunit ribosomal RNA", at positions 587 to 972 of the family's 1831-position model. The record is from RNAcentral. Lineage: Eukaryota; Bacillariophyta; Thalassiosirophyceae; Chaetocerotales; Chaetocerotaceae.